RNAcentral lists this ribosomal RNA (468 nucleotides) under uncultured bacterium. Its description in RNAcentral is "partial 16S ribosomal RNA". It matches the Rfam family "Bacterial small subunit ribosomal RNA", at positions 28 to 507 of the family's 1533-position model. The record is from RNAcentral.
GACGAACGCUGGCGGCGUGCUUAACACAUGCAAGUCGAACGGAAAGGCCCUGCUUUUGUGGGGUGCUCGAGUGGCGAACGGGUGAGUAACACGUGAGUAACCUGCCCUUGACUUUGGGAUAACUUCAGGAAACUGGGGCUAAUACCGGAUAGGAGCUCCUGCUGCAUGGUGGGGGUUGGAAAGUUUCGGCGGUUGGGAAUGGACUCGCGGCUUAUCAGCUUGUUGGUGGGGUAGUGGCUUACCAAGGCUUUGACGGGUAGCCGGCCUGAGAGGGAGACCGGCCACAUUGGGACUGAGAUACGGCCCAGACUCCUACGGGAGGCAGCAGUGGGGAAUAUUGCACAAUGGGCGGAAGCCUGAUGCAGCAACGCCGCGUGCGGGAUGACGGCCUUCGGGUUGUAAACCGCUUUCGCCUGUGACGAAGCGUGAGUGACGGUAAUGGGUAAAGAAGCACCGGCUAACUACGUG